UACGUAGGGGGCAAGCGUUGUCCGGAUUUAUUGGGCGUAAAGAGCGUGUAGGCGGCCAGGUAGGUCUGCUGUGAAAACUCGAGGCUUAACCUCGAGCUGUCGGCGGAAACCAUCUGGCUAGAGUCCGGAAGAGGAGAAUGGAAUUCCCGGUGUAGAGGUGAAAUUCGUAGAUAUCGGGAGGAACACCAGUGGCGAAGGCGGCGACCUGGGCAGAUACUGACGCUGAGGUGCGAAAGCGUGGGGAGCAAACAGG
RNAcentral lists this ribosomal RNA (253 nucleotides) under uncultured bacterium. Its description in RNAcentral is "partial 16S ribosomal RNA". It matches the Rfam family "Bacterial small subunit ribosomal RNA", at positions 524 to 776 of the family's 1533-position model. The record is from RNAcentral.